Molecule: non-coding RNA, 1034 nt
Organism: Punica granatum (pomegranate)
Lineage: Eukaryota; Viridiplantae; Streptophyta; Magnoliopsida; Myrtales; Lythraceae
Source: RefSeq, a predicted model, not a curated record
AUCACUUGACCAUUUCAUUUGUUCUACCUUUUUCUUUCUUUUUCUUUUCUUUUUGCUCUGUUCUGGGCUGGGGAAGUACGAAGAAGAAACAGAGCAAAAACAGGGAGAGAGAAGGAAGGAAGAAAACGAAGGAGGAGAAGACUGGGGCUUCGGGAACGGUCCGUAAGUUGGGGUUGAGGACACCAAUAUUGUCCAUCCUGAAGGCCAAGUUUGAUGAACCAAUUUGGGUGUUUGAUAAACUUCUAGCUGUGCGGAAGGACUACUUUUUGAUAUCGUGGAUCAGCUCGGAGAAUUAGGUAGGGACCUUAGUUAUAUGAUAAGUAUUCUUUUUGCAUAGAACGUAUUUGUAUAUGUUACGACCUGAAAUUUUUGUGUAGUUGGUUUAGUGAUGUGGUUGAAGAGAAAAUACUCUCUUUGAGAUGCAUAUACAUAUUAGAGAUUGCUGGAUUGGAUAUAUAUAUUUAGGCCUUAUGGAACGUAGGUUUAGAUGUGAAUAGUUUGUGUGAUAAUGGAUAUCGACCAAAUUUAAGGGAAGUUCUGUCGAAAUUUCGGGUUGUGACAUUACCAUUAAGAUCCACGUUUGGCUAUGUUUAUCUGUUGGCUGGAGGAGUCACCUCCUAGAAGAGUGGUAAGCAAAUGCCUACCACCACUUCAAUGAUGGAGGCAAAGUUCAUAGUUGUUAUGCGGCAUCUAAUUAUGGAAUAUGACUACAAAAUUUUGUCACUUUCUGCAACUUCUGUAAAGUGUUGAAAGACCACUAAAGUUAUUAUGUGACAAUAAGUUGCCAAUCUUAUAUUCCAACAACAAUAUAGAGUGGUCAGUUAUCUUUAGAGCACAUCGGUAUAGCUUCCGUGCUUGCAGGUCCGCUCACAAAAGCUUUAACACCCUCGGUUUUUUAUGAGCAUGUCGCUAAUAUGGGUAUUAUGUCUCGUGAGGAUACUAUGGUUGAGGUUGUAUUUUGAUUAUAGUAUUACAAUAUGGAUAUUUUCGGCAGAAUAAAGUUUAUACAGACUAUAGUUUAUAGUUUAUUACAC